Long non-coding RNA from Haliotis rubra (blacklip abalone), 356 nucleotides. RefSeq lists it as uncharacterized. NCBI's taxonomy places the organism in Eukaryota, Metazoa, Mollusca, Gastropoda, Lepetellida, Haliotidae. The transcript is spliced from 3 exons. The record is from RefSeq and is a predicted model, not a curated record.
GUAUAUCACAGGUACACAGUAUAUUGCAUGAAGUACACAGUAUAUCACAGGUACACAGUAUAUCGCAUGAAGUAUACAGUACAUCACAGGUACACAGUAUAUCACAUGAAGUAUACAGUACAUCACAGGUACACAGUAUAUCGCAUGAAGUAUACAGUACAUCACAGGUACACAGUAUAUCGCAUGAAGUAUACGGUACAUCACAGGUACACAGUAUAUCACAUGAAGUAUACAGUGCAUCAUAGGUACACAGUAUAUUGGAUGAAGCAUACAGUUGAUCACAGGUACACAGUAUAUCGCAUGAAGUAUACAGUGCAUCACUGGUACACUGUAUAUCGCAUGAAGUAUACAGUAUA